GGCCUCCCAGUCAUGUCUCCAUUCCUUCGUGACUCCUUGUCAGUGUCUCACAUCCUCUACCUCAGCCUUCCCAAUUAAUGGCUUCGUUAUCGUACCAUUGUCCUCUUGCCGACCAUGCUCCUCAACUUUGGUUGUACCUGUGAACCACUCCACUCCAUCUCGGUGGUUCUGUCCCUUCCCAUUUGCCACUACAUUUUGCCUUGGCUCUUACCCUUGGCUCUUCUCCUGCCCAUCUCAAAGGCUUCACCUAUCUCUUGCUCUUCGUCCACCUCCUUGCCUUUGCUGUCCACCAUCUUCUCCUUUUUCUUUUGGAGCCCCAAGAUAAUUCAUGUUUUUCCUUAUAUUUGUCAGACAUCAGAUAGGCUAGAUGGUAAAGGGAUAGGAUAUGUGAUUGCUAUUGCAGAAGAUCAAGAUGGUGUGAAGAUUAGAUUGGCAACCAAGGAGAUUGAUAAGCUUGGAGAAAUUUGAGCAGGUUAGAUGGAGUUCUGUCUUGUUAAUAUUUGAGGUUAUAAGCAAAUUAAAGGGCUAAAAAGAAUCUUGCAUUUGAACCUUGGGCCAUUUUGUUUCCUUUACAGUAUCAAAGGUAGUCCUCUGCUGCUCUUCUUUCAGUACAAUGAUCAUUUUCUUCUGUAUAAUAGUUAUGAAAUAUGAAGAGUUGUUACUUUUGGAGAUUUCUAAUUGUUUAUUAAGAAAAGCCUGCAGGUCGUGACAUUCUGUACCAAUAACACAGAGGAGCAGCAUUAAAAAAUUUAACCUCUGAGAAUUGAUCACUUCAAGCUUUUACCUUUGACAAGUUGCUUAUGCUGGUCUCUCUGCAUAGAUGAUCAUCAUGUUAUAAUAUUUUAAUGUUAAUAAUUUAUCCAGACAAUUUUGAUUUUUUACUUCAUAUAAUUUUGUGAUAAUGAUGGAUUAUUUUAUUUUGAUACAGAUGCUUCAAGAAUAUAAUCAUGUAAAACCACAUGAUGAAGAGAAAUAUGAAAUCUUUUUAGAUUCGAUGGUAAGAUGAUCCGUCUGCACAUUUGCAAGGAACGUUUUCUAUUCAGCAUUGUAGAAGAACAGUUGAAUGGGAGUUAUACCUUGUCCUUGAUUUUUGCUGCAUUUAGCCAAAUUAUCUGAUUAUCAGCUGAUUGCUGAAGUCAUCUGAAGAAUCAAAAGUUAAUUUGCAUAAAGACUGCUAUAUUAUAUCUCAUAUUUUUUCUGUUGAUAUGAUUUUAAUAUAGUUUUCUGUUUUUGAUGCUUGCAGAAUCCCUUGCAUUUUCUCUGGCGGCCUGCUAUCAGAAAUUGGGUGAAUACAGAAAAUUGAGGCAUACGAUAAGAUACAGUGCUAUGUUUAUCAGAUCAGGUAGGCAAAACCCAAGCACGAAUAUUUUCAAUUGUUGUGGUGUUUGUUAUUCAGAUGCAACUGUUGAUGUACCUUCAUUCAUUGAAUGAAAUGGAUGAUGGGUUGUUCUGUUCAUUUG
This 1460-nucleotide long non-coding RNA is filed under the name Elaeis guineensis (African oil palm). RNAcentral describes it as "long non-coding RNA (EGUI_LNC016782)". The record is from RNAcentral. Lineage: Eukaryota; Viridiplantae; Streptophyta; Magnoliopsida; Arecales; Arecaceae.